UGGAAAUAUCAUUCUCAAAUCAACAAAUAACCUAAACUAAACUAACUAAAAAUAUGUAUAGCUUCAAUAUUUAGAAUCUCCCUGGUCGUCGUGAAACCUUUAGCUUCGGGAUAGCCAUUGUUUACAGGAGUGAUAGACAUGGCAACUAAGGAAAAGGCAAAGAAGGGAGGAAAGGAUUCAGAUAAAAAGAACAAAAAAAUUGAAGAUGAAGACAAAAAGAUAGAAAAAGCAGCCACAGAAAAUCUUGGCACAAUAGAUGAGAACGUAAUUGUGAUUGAGCAAGAAGUAUCACCCCAGGAAUCAACUCAGCCGCUACCGGUGCAGGAGCCAGUGAUUGCGGUUAACGAAUAUGAAGAACCCGUACUUGCAGAGCUGAUUAUUGAAAGCUAUGAAGGUGAAAAAGUAAAAGGACUUUAUGAUGGUUUAGCAGUUGCUCGUUUCAAAGACAAGCACACAUAUGAGGGUCAGUUUUCAGAGGGUCUUAUGCAUGGCAAAGGCAAAUACACUUGGGCUGAUGGUGUGAUUUAUGAGGGUGACUUCUUUCGAAAUGUUGUGACUGGAAAGGGCUUAUAUCUGUGGCCAGAUGGCAGCUGUUAUGAAGGAGAUGUUGUUCAGGGGAAGAGACAUGGGCAAGGAGAGUUUCGGUGGAAAGACAAUGUCAUGUCAUACAGUGGUGACUGGAAUCAGGGUUUUCGACAUGGAAAGGGUAGAAUGAGUUAUGAUGUUACAGGAAAAUCCUUUUAUGAUGGUGACUGGGUGAUGAAUCUUCGACAUGGCUGGGGUGUACGUCAAUAUGCUUCUGAAAAUGUGUAUGAAGGAAUGUGGUUCAACAAUGCUCGCCAUGGACAAGGCACAAUGAAAUGGGCUGAUAAAGAUCAGAUCUACACUGGUCAGUGGGAGAAUGGCAUUCAGCAUGGUUUGGGGCAGCAUACUUGGAUUCUUCGACGAGUUCCUGGUUCACAGUAUUCUAUGCGUAAUGUGUAUGAUGGCGAGUUUGUCAAUGGCCUUAGACAUGGCUAUGGUACCUUUCACUAUGCCAAUGGUGCUUCAUAUUCUGGAUACUGGAACAACAACAUGAAACAUGGAAAGGGCAAGUUCCUAUUCAAGAAUGGGCGGAUCUAUGAGGGCAUGUUUGAACAUGAUCAUAUUGUAGAAUACCCUGACUUUAGAAUGAACGGCACCACCACUCCAGACAUUUCUGGUAUCAGAACAAGAACUCCUCUUCCUUCAGAUGAUGUGUCUAUACAAAGCAAUGAGAGCCGCAACACAAUCACCCCAAAUUUCCAGUUGGAAAUCGAUGCUUUGCUUAGCGAGUUCCCCGAGGAUGACCAAGAAGAAGAAAUUAAUCAUGUUUUGGUUGUGAUUACACGCCAUGUUAGCAGUCUCCGUAAAAUUUACCAGUUUUACAGUCGGCUAGGAUUUGAAGAAAGCCUUGAUAAUACUUUCUCACUGUCACGCAUGCAGUUCUGGCGUUUUGCCAAAGACUGUCAUUUUCACCAUAGUGGCAAAACACUAAUGGAAAUGGAUCGCUACAUUGGCAAAUGCUACAACAAAGCCACCUUUGAACUUCAUAAUCCCUUUGAGCGCAUACUAAUGCGCCAGUUUAUCAACUGCUUGGUACUUCUUGCAUACCAGAUAUAUGGAGACCAAUUUCAAGACUCAGCUCCAGUCCUUGCAAACUGUCUGUCUACACUGAUCACAGAAAAUAUUCUUCGCCAUGCCUGCAAUGUCCAAGGACGCUUCUUUUAUGAGCCAAGACGGUCUAUCCAAGCUUUGAUUUAUGUGGACCAAAGCUAUGAGAUCUUCCAAUGCCUUUGCCACCCAAGAAAGCACUUACCAAAGGAACCAGCUUUCAAAAUGAGAGAGUUUUUGUUUCUGAUGAAGGAUCUGAAGCUGAUGAACAAUGACCUUACACCCCAGCAUGUCAUUAAGGUGUUGUCAAGUGAAGAUCCAGCCGUUGUGGAUGGAGAUGGCUUUUACAACCUUGAGCUUGAGAUGACAUUCCUGGAGUUUUUUGAGGCUCUGAUUGGUUGUGCUGAGAUUUAUGCUACUGAAGCCUUAGUGAAGGACCCAAUUACCCCUCGUCCCUCAACAGCGAUGACACACUCUGUCUAUUCGGUGCCAGCUUGUCCCUCACGUGUUGCCAGUCAUGCUGGAAUGGAGCAAGAAUUGGGAGAUACAAAUGCUCUUCAAACUCCACACGAAAAAGCAGCAAGUCCACCUUUUAGUGAAACGCCCCGUGCUCCAUCUUCCAAUGCAGGCACAGUGAAGACUACAAAAGGAGGCUCUGCAAAGAGCAAGAAACUACCCGUGUUGAAUUUUUGCAUGCAUAGCCUGCAACUAAACCAACAACAAAAGCAGCAGCAGCUGCAGGGGCGGCGACGGCAGCAACAUCAGCAGCAACAAAAGCAGAUAAGACAGGUGUUGAGUCCUCUAAUCAGCAAGACAGUAACAGAGAUCAAGCAGGGGAGCUGACGAGUGUUUCUGUUGCCAGUGGUCACACCAACAACACAGAAGAUCAACAAACACUGAUGCAAAGCUUAAUCUCCAUGGGAGGACUACGUGAUGCUGGAGAAUUUGAGGAGGGUUUAGCUGAUCAUGCAGGUGAAGGUCAACUUGACCUUCAAUGUGUGGAAGAAGAACUGGAUCCAGACACACGGAAGUUUAACUUCUGGACACACCAGGUCCAUGUAUUCUUCCAUAUGAAGUUUUUGAAAGCAGCUCA
Molecule: unclassified non-coding RNA, 2725 nt
Filed under: Pomacea canaliculata
Lineage: Eukaryota; Metazoa; Mollusca; Gastropoda; Architaenioglossa; Ampullariidae
Description: radial spoke head 10 homolog B-like, transcript variant X1
Source: RNAcentral